UGUAAAUAUAUUUUAAAGAGAAAUGUACACUAAAUAGAAAGCGAUGUUAUUUGUAACAAAGUAAAUAUUUGUCAUAAUUUUGAACACUUUAUGCUUAACAUGUUUCACCUGCAAUUAAGUAUUCAAAAUCUCCUUGUCUCCUAUUGUCUCUUACCAUUUGUGUUUCCUAUAUAGAUUCUAAAAUUCAUUUUCUCUAGCAUUGUUCUCUAAACACCCACCUCUAUUCCUGGUUUUCAAUAAAAUAAUUUAACACAAGUAGAUAAAAUUACAACAUGGUCCUCAUUAACUCCUUGUAUCCUGUGGUUAUGUAAAGUAUACUUACUACUGUUAUAUAUUAGAAUCACUGGGUUUGUACAGUAAGUUUGUAGUCCUUUUUUGGUUUGUUUUCUUGAUUAGGUAACAGCAGUUUUCUUUAAUAAGAGAUUAAAUAAACC
This 434-nucleotide long non-coding RNA is filed under the name Bos taurus (domestic cattle). RNAcentral's name for it is "long non-coding RNA NONBTAT024533". Lineage: Eukaryota; Metazoa; Chordata; Mammalia; Artiodactyla; Bovidae. The record is from RNAcentral.